RNAcentral lists this long non-coding RNA (209 nucleotides) under Mytilus galloprovincialis (Mediterranean mussel). The record is from RNAcentral. Lineage: Eukaryota; Metazoa; Mollusca; Bivalvia; Mytilida; Mytilidae.
GACAAGAAAACAUAUUUUUUUCUAGGUUUAAUUCUUAUGAAGAGAACAAUUCCAACGAUGAGUAAUGAAAAUUUUGUUGUGUAAACUGUACUGAUAUGGCCCUUAAUUGAUCAUAAAAAAAUAAUUUGAGUGUUCUGUGUGUUAUGUUUACUUUUUGUUCACCAGAUUGUUAAAAUUGAAGGGUUAAUCUAAUUUAUUGAUUAUUUAUC